AAUAGAUACCCCGGUAGUCCACGCCGUAAACGUUGGGCGCUAGAUGUGGGGACCAUUCCACGGUUUCCGUGUCGCAGCUAACGCAUUAAGCGCCCCGCCUGGGGAGUACGGCCGCAAGGCUAAAACUCAAAGGAAUUGACGGGGGCCCGCACAAGCGGCGGAGCAUGCGGAUUAAUUCGAUGCAACGCGAAGAACCUUACCAAGGCUUGACAUAUACGAGAACGCUCUAGAAAUAGAGAACUCUUUGGACACUCGUAUACAGGUGGUGCAUGGUUGUCGUCAGCUCGUGUCGUGAGAUGUUGGGUUAAGUCCCGCAACGAGCGCAACCCUCGUUCUAUGUUGCCAGCGGUUCGGCCGGGAACUCAUAGGAGACUGCCGGGGUCAACUCGGAGGAAGGUGGGGAUGACGUCAAAUCAUCAUGCCCCUUAUGUCUUGGGCUUCACGCAUGCUACAAUGGCCGGUACAAAGGGCUGCAAUCCGUAAGGUGGAGCGAAUCCCAAAAAGCCGGUCUCAGUUCGGAUUGAGGUCUGCAACUCGACCU
This 541-nucleotide ribosomal RNA is filed under the name uncultured bacterium. RNAcentral's name for it is "bacterial SSU rRNA". It matches the Rfam family "Bacterial small subunit ribosomal RNA", at positions 777 to 1318 of the family's 1533-position model. The record is from RNAcentral.